AUUGGACCCUAGCCAGGAGAUGAGGAUGCAUCCAGUGGCCUACUUGAUCUUUUCCCAAAUGUUGUGGCACACGUGGGCACAUUAUCAACCUCCCCUGGAGGUUACUGUGAAGCCCAGGACUGACGCCAGCACAUCAAAAGAUGAGCGCGCUUCAAAGCAGUCUGCAAUUUCAGAGCGGUAAACGCAAGAGAGGACUUUGGCUGAGAAUAGAGCCCCAGGUGGGCCCUUUCUGUUGGGCCUGACUCAGCCCAUGGAGGCAUUUCAACCUACCUCUGAUUAUAGAUGAUUGUCUGUCCUGCAAAAUGGAUUUUCUGCUCUCCUGCAAACAGCUGGACAUCUACGUUCAUUUUUCUCUCCUAAUAACACUUAUUUUCACACAUUUCAACCAGUACUUCUACUCUGUUUUAGUGUUUUGCAUCCAACAUGCAACUCACCACUACCAUCCAUCCUACCCAACGUGUCACUCACUUGUGUUUCCCAGUGCCAGGGCUGCCCGGGAUGCCUGCGAGGAGAGAGGAACAACAGACAGAGAGAGGGAGAGGGGUGCGUCGCCAUGGCAACCAUUUGUUUUUGUUAGAGCUCUGAGUCAGACAUGUGGGUCGUGGGGGUCUGGACAGGGCGCCAGUCCAUUGCAGGUCAACACACAGACAGACAGACAGACAACCACUUACAAUCACUCCUAUGAUCCAUUUAGAGACUCCAAUCAACCUAACAGAUACUGCCCCACGAUACAACAACGUUCACAGGGAGGUGGUCCCGGCCCCAACAACGAGAGAGGACAUCAUCAACUGCCCAAGCAGGGCCACCCUGCCAACCACAGACCGAGAAGAGGCCUACCCAAGCACCCUUAACCGGGCACCGCUACCAAUGCCUCCAGCACAGUUCCCGUGACGUUUGGAAACACAAAACUCUGGUUACCAGUGCCCACACUCAAACGCAAAACCGGAGUUUUACCAAAUCCUCAUUUUGGUCGGAGUAUUCCAAAAGCUCAGUUUUUAAUGACCUUAUUUUGCGUUUUCAUGUAGAUGACAGGCCAAAAUGUAGGAAAAUAUAUUUGUUUUAGCAGAUAGCCGGCUACGUGUCUUUGUUUGGUUGAAUCAUUCAACCUGUGUCAAUCUGGCCUGUCAGGCUUCCUCUGUAUGUGGAGAUAUGAUCAGCUGCAUGUCCGUCAAUAGCUUGUAGAAGCAGCAUAAAGGGAAGUUUAAGAAGUGUUUGGGACAGUUGCUGAGUCCCAGACAGCAACACGUAAGGGAAGCUCUGCAGUCAAAUCAGGAGAGUGAGGAUUGAAAGAAAAAGGUGGGAUAUUUUUAGCAUUUGGAGUGAAAGAGGGCAGUAUGUUCUUAAGGGGUUUUUCCAGAGGAGUAAAUUUAGAGUUGCGUAAAAAGACAGAGGGGGGAAAACAGGAGGGCCGUGCACUGUAGUCUAAUACCUGUCUGAUGUAAGUGUCUGCAAUAGGACCACACACAUUCCUCUCCUCUCCCUGUGGCACGGCCCUGGCUAUAUCAAGCUCUUGCUCAUGCACUUU
Molecule: long non-coding RNA, 1525 nt
Filed under: Gouania willdenowi (blunt-snouted clingfish)
Lineage: Eukaryota; Metazoa; Chordata; Actinopteri; Blenniiformes; Gobiesocidae
Description: lncRNA (ENSGWIG00000009616.1)
Source: RNAcentral